UAGUGCAAAUUGGUGAAAGGGGUGUCACUGGAAUACCGGUCACGCGUGGCGUGAGGGCUUCCUACGCACGGCGUGACGAUGGAAAUGGUUAAGUUAGCUCUCUGACUAGUUAUCACGCGCGGCGUGGUAUCUGUCACGCACGGCGUGAACAAGGCAGAGAGGAAAGUGGUUUUGCUAAAAGUGGUCACGCGCGGCGUGAGGAGGACUACGCGCGGCGUCGUCGAGUCAACAUGACCGUUUGAAUUUGGUCAACAUGACCGUUGGAUUUUGGGUCAAAAUAGGAAAUUUGAAAUACAUCACGCGCGGCGUGGAGUACGUCACGCGCGGCGUAAUCAGGUGACUUUGUUCUGACUAUUUAAACCCUCAAUUUAUAGCUAAAGACUCACCAUUCAUCAAGGUUCAGAUUCAUCUGCUUGGUUUUAGGCUUCAGAUCU
This 434-nucleotide long non-coding RNA is filed under the name Trifolium pratense (red clover). RNAcentral's name for it is "long non-coding RNA (TPRA_LNC004485)". The record is from RNAcentral. Lineage: Eukaryota; Viridiplantae; Streptophyta; Magnoliopsida; Fabales; Fabaceae.